Schistocerca cancellata (South American locust) is the source of this 1191-nucleotide RNA transcript. NCBI's taxonomy places the organism in Eukaryota, Metazoa, Arthropoda, Insecta, Orthoptera, Acrididae. The record is from RefSeq and is a predicted model, not a curated record.
ACACAAACAAAUAAUUGGUUGUCCGUUGUAGGCGCCAGGUACGAAAGGUGAUAUUCGAUGAUAGUUUUGUAAAUGUGGUCGUACGUUUUCUAUUUUGGAAAGUGAUUUGUUGGUGGUGAAUUAAAACAAAAUUUUCGGGAUAUUACUUUUUUGUCAACACUAUUGGCAUCGUUAUAAUAUUAUCUCUUGUUAAAAAUACCAACGUGUACAUGUGUGAUUUCUAAAAUUUAUGUGACAUUUACGAAUCGGCGACGUCGUAUCUGAGCAUUAGACUAUGUCGGACACGGAUGACGAAAGUUUGGACGUAACAUCAAGUAAAUUUGAUCCUUUAAAAGCCCUGUACGCUCCGAAGUUGCCACUCACUGUGCCAAAUGCACCUAUAUACGACAAUGUGUCUAAAUUUUAUUCGACGAAGCUUGCCCCAAAGAGAGAGCCAUCAAGGAAGAAGGUGCCAAAAGAAACAGAGCCUUCUACAUCAGGGGAACGAAAAUUUUUACCUCAUCAAAUGCCAGUGUCAGCACCAAGAUUUAAACGACCAGGGCGGACUGUGUUAACACGAAUGGAGUCUGUGAAAGGGCCUCUGGCUGUGUUGAGAGAGUGCGUUAAUUCUCAAAUAAGGAUUAAGGUAGUUACGAGAAGUAUGAAUGGUAUCAGGGGUUACUGUGAGGCCUUUGUUGUUGCCUUUGACAGGCACUGGAAUCUGGCACUAAAGGAUAUACGUGAAGUUUGGACAAGAAAGAAGAAGGCUAAAGUACCUUCUAUUGGUUCUUGUGGUACACUGGUAGAAAGCACACCUGCAACAGGUCGGACUGUACUGGUUCUGAAAUCUGGCAAAAAAGAGGAGCUCCUUGAGCGACAUGUUCCGCAGUUACUCUUGAGGGGUGAACAUGUUGCCAUUAUUUCUGUUCUACGCUGAUUGAGCAUAAUUUACGUUUCAUGCAGCUCCUGCCCUCAAGACUGCACAAAGAAUGUCUGUAAAGACACUACUUGACUUUGGCAAACAGAUGACUCAUGGCAAACAGAUGACACUCAAUUGCUUGACUUUCAAAAUGGAUGCCCAUAUUGUUUAAAGUGUACAGGGAAAAACAAUCAAAGUCCACUUCUGGUAAGUUUGAGAUUCUGAUACCAAUGGAUUCUGUAUGUAUAAUAUUAUGUUCUAACAGCUUCAUACAUCUCUCGGUUAAGAAUACA